RNAcentral lists this ribosomal RNA (253 nucleotides) under uncultured bacterium. RNAcentral describes it as "partial 16S ribosomal RNA". It matches the Rfam family "Bacterial small subunit ribosomal RNA", at positions 524 to 776 of the family's 1533-position model. The record is from RNAcentral.
UACAGAGGUCCCAAGCGUUGUUCGGAUUCACUGGGCGUAAAGGGUGCGUAGGUGGUGAGGUAAGUCGGAUGUGAAAGCUCGGAGCUCAACUCCGAAAUGGCAUUGGAAACUACCUUGCUCGAGGGUUGGAGGGGGGACUGGAAUACUUGGUGUAGCAGUGAAAUGCGUAGAUAUCAAGUGGAACACCAGUGGCGAAGGCGGCCUUCUGGACAGCAUCUGACGCUGAGACGCGAAAGCGUGGGGAGCAAACAGG